Molecule: long non-coding RNA, 268 nt
Organism: Notothenia coriiceps (black rockcod)
Lineage: Eukaryota; Metazoa; Chordata; Actinopteri; Perciformes; Nototheniidae
Exons: 3
Source: RefSeq, a predicted model, not a curated record
AGAUACGCUGGCUGUGUGAGGAGGUGCGGGAGUGCAACACAAGAGAACAGCGCCUGAAGAAGCAGCAACAACAGACCAGGGAUCAGUUAAAGGCCCUGAGGCAGAGCCGGGACUCUGAGCAGACGGCUCUCCUGCAGCGCCUCGAUCAACAGGAGAAGCUGCUGCACUCCCUUGACACUGAAAAGAGAGAGCUGUUGGACAGGAGUCGCAGGAAGGAGGAAGAAAUGCGGAGCCUUCAGGAAGGUGUAUUGGAUCUGGAGAUGGUAAG